This 296-nucleotide small RNA is filed under the name Hymenobacter crusticola. Its description in RNAcentral is "Hymenobacter sp. MIMBbqt21 5' ureB small RNA". It matches the Rfam family "5' ureB small RNA". Lineage: Bacteria; Pseudomonadati; Bacteroidota; Cytophagia; Cytophagales; Hymenobacteraceae. The record is from Rfam by way of RNAcentral.
CCUCGUUGAUCUGCUGCGGACUAAUGAAGUGGAUGUGGCAGUCGAUGCCGCCGGCCGUCAGGAUCUGGCCUUCGCCGGCUACCACUUCGGUCGUCACGCCCACCACCAUGCCGGGCGUCACGCCGGGCAUAAUGUGUGGGUUACCGCCUUUCCCAAUCCCGCUGAUACGGCCGUUUUUGAUGCCAAUAUCGGCUUUGUAAAUACCAGUGUAGUCAAUUACCAACGCAUUCGUGAUGAGCAUAUCCAGCGCAUCGGCCUGCGAUACCCCGGCCGCCUGGCCCAUGCCGUCGCGCAGG